This 613-nucleotide ribosomal RNA is filed under the name uncultured soil bacterium. Its description in RNAcentral is "bacterial SSU rRNA". It matches the Rfam family "Bacterial small subunit ribosomal RNA", at positions 359 to 990 of the family's 1533-position model. The record is from RNAcentral.
GGACUUGGACAAUGGAGGAAACUCUGAUCCAGCCAUGCCGCGUGAGUGAAGAAGGCCUUCGGGUUGUAAAACUCUUUCAGUAGUGAAGAUGAUAACGGUAACUACAGAAGAAGCUCCGGCUAACUUCGUGCCAGCAGCCGCGGUAAUACGAAGGGGGCGAGCGUUGUUCGGAAUCACUGGGCUUAAAGCGUACGUAGGCGGAUUUGCAAGUCAGAAGUGAAAUCCCAGGGCUCAACCCUGGAACUGCUUUUGAAACUGCAAGUCUAGUGUCCCGGAGAGGUUGGCGGAAUUCCGAGUGUAGAGGUGAAAUUCGCAGAUAUUCGGAGGAACACCAGUGGCGUAGGCGGCCAACUGGACGGGUACAGACGCUGAGGUACGAAAGCGUGGGGAGCAAACAGGAUUAGAUACCCUGGUAGUCCACGCCGUAAACGAUGUCGACUAGCCGUUGGGGAACUUGAUUCUUUGGUGGCGCAGUUAACGCGAUAAGUCGACCGCCUGGGGAGUACGGCCGCAAGGUUAAAACUCAAAUGAAUUGACGGGGGCCCGCACAAGCGGUGGAGCAUGUGGUUUAAUUCGAUGCAACGCGAAGAACCUUACCAGGCCUUGACAUCCU